GGCAUCGUAGCUCAGCUGGUAGGGUGUGUGCUGUGAAAAAGCGGAGGUGGCGUCCGUACGUGGGUUCGAAUCCCACCGAGGUCA
Molecule: transfer RNA, 84 nt
Filed under: Echinostoma caproni
Lineage: Eukaryota; Metazoa; Platyhelminthes; Trematoda; Plagiorchiida; Echinostomatidae
Rfam family: tRNA
About the family: Transfer RNA (tRNA) molecules are approximately 80 nucleotides in length. Their secondary structure includes four short double-helical elements and three loops (D, anti-codon, and T loops). Further hydrogen bonds mediate the characteristic L-shaped molecular structure. tRNAs have two regions of fundamental functional importance: the anti-codon, which is responsible for specific mRNA codon recognition, and the 3' end, to which the tRNAs corresponding amino acid is attached (by aminoacyl-tRNA synthetases). tRNAs cope with the degeneracy of the genetic code in two manners: having more than one tRNA (with a specific anti-codon) for a particular amino acid; and 'wobble' base-pairing, i.e. permitting non-standard base-pairing at the 3rd anti-codon position.
Source: Rfam by way of RNAcentral